GAUACCCGUGUAGUCCCAGCCGUAAACUAUGCGCGUUAGGUGUAUCGGUGACCACGAGUUACCGAGGUGCCGAAGGGAAACCGUGAAACGUGCCGCCUGGGAAGUACGGUCGCAAGGCUGAAACUUAAAGGAAUUGGCGGGGAGCACCACAACGGGUGGAGCCUGCGGUUUAAUUGGACUCAACGCCGGGAAGCUCACCGGAUAAGACAGCGGAAUGAUUGCCGGGCUGAAGACUCUGCAUGACUAGCUG
This 250-nucleotide ribosomal RNA is filed under the name uncultured archaeon. Its description in RNAcentral is "partial 16S ribosomal RNA". It matches the Rfam family "Archaeal small subunit ribosomal RNA", at positions 732 to 982 of the family's 1478-position model. The record is from RNAcentral.